AGUGAACGCCGGCGGUAGGCCUAACACAUGCGAGUCGAACGGCAGCACAGUAAGAGCUUGCUCUUACGGGUGGCGCGUGGCGGACGGGUGAGGAAUACAUCGGAAUCUACUUUUUCGUGGGGGAUAACGUAGGGAAACUUACGCUAAUACCGCAUACGACCUACGGGUGAAAGCAGGGGAUCUUCGGACCUUGCGCGAUUGAAUGAGCCGAUGUCGGAUUAGCUAGUUGGCGGGGUAAAGGCCCACCAAGGCGACGAUCCGUAGCUGGUCUGAGAGGAUGAUCAGCCACACUGGAACUGAGACACGGUCCAGACUCCUACGGGAGGCAGCAGUGGGGAAUAUUGGACAAUGGGCGCAAGCCUGAUCCAGCCAUACCGCGUGGGUGAAGAAGGCCUUCGGGUUGUAAAGCCCUUUUGUUGGGAAAGAAAAGCAGCAGGUUAAUACCCCGCUGUUCUGACGGUACCCAAAGAAUAAGCACCGGCUAACUUCGUG
Molecule: ribosomal RNA, 492 nt
Filed under: uncultured bacterium
Lineage: Bacteria
Description: partial 16S ribosomal RNA
Rfam family: Bacterial small subunit ribosomal RNA
Source: RNAcentral